GUCACCUUGGUUUCAUGUACAUUUGUUUCCAAUUAAGUAGACUGUAAGACAUAAAAUUCCUCAACGACAACUGAAUGGUCUCCUGAAUUAUGGCCACAAAUGGGAAAAACAAACAAGUUGGAAUAUUCAGCAGAUUUCUAAAGGAAUAUAGAAUAUAUCAAGAAUAUCAAGUAGCAAGACUGGAUCUUGGUUAUAAGUUACCUGCUAGUACAUGAGAGAACAUGACAAAAUAAAACAUCACAGACCGGAGCUUCUGUUUCACAUCAUGUGUCUGUACUGUAAAUCCCGCUCCUCAUGACUAUGCAGGAUGCCAUACUCUUUGCUCAAGCUUUAUGGUUACCUUGAAACAAACAAAUAGACAGCGGCAGCUCCAAUAAAGUGAAAAACGUGGGUGUCUUUAUUCAUAUAAUGUGAUGCGACGUUUCAGCUUGCUCACCAAGCAGAGUAGAUAUUUAUGGCCCCGCAGGACCAGUGAAACAAUGAACCAAUCAAUUGUAUUAUACAAUAUUAUA
Molecule: long non-coding RNA, 512 nt
Organism: Hyla sarda
Lineage: Eukaryota; Metazoa; Chordata; Amphibia; Anura; Hylidae
Exons: 3
Source: RefSeq, a predicted model, not a curated record